RNAcentral lists this long non-coding RNA (28165 nucleotides) under Hordeum vulgare. Its description in RNAcentral is "long non-coding RNA (HVUL_LNC011647)". The stretch from base 22778 to 22913 matches the Rfam family "MIR1120/MIR1122 microRNA precursor family". The record is from RNAcentral. Lineage: Eukaryota; Viridiplantae; Streptophyta; Magnoliopsida; Poales; Poaceae.
UGUUUGAGCAGGUACUCUGGACUUCACGCGAUUCUCCUACUGGAUUGAUACCUUGGUUCUCAAACUCAGGGAAAUACUUACUGCUCCUGUGCUGCAUCACCCUUUCCUCUUCAAGGGAAAAACCAACGCAAGCUCAAGAGACAACAGAAGGUUUUUGUCGACGUAGCACAAACCACAAAGAGGUAUAAGGCAUCACCAGAGGGCUCAUAACACUGACAAAGACGGUCCACAUCUCAAAGACAGUAGGAAGACCCAGAAACUUAGAGGCAAACUGGGGCAGAACACUAGCACUGAGAAACAGCUGCAUCACGAGCAUCAUCAUCAAGCCACUGGGUGUAAACAGUUAGACCACCAUGAUACGCUUGAAGAGCCUUCUCAUAAAUCAAAACCUGCUCAUCAAAAGUACGAACAGCGGCCUCAUCAGCAAGCUUAGCUGCAUCCUUCGUAGCCUGAUUAGCAUCCGCACGAAUAACCGGUGGCGUCGGCGGAGUGGGGGCCACAGGAGGAACCGGACGUGGCGGACAACGGACCUGGCCAGAAAGAACGCCCCAGAGACGGAUGCCACACAUGUGAAUGCGCAUGAAGCCAAUGAACUCGGUGUAGUUAGUGCCAUAAAAAAUCACCGGACAAUGAUGAACAACAACGUAUCCUGAUGCAGCAGACAUUUUUUUACUCAGCAGAGAUCGAGACGGGACCAGCAGCAACGAGGAACUAGCAGAAUCCGACGAGAUCCAGCGAAAGCAGUCGGGAUCCGGCAAGAUUGGGGCAACCAGCAGUUGGAUCGGGACCCUGGGGCGGCUGGAGGCGGAUCCAAUCGGGAUUAGGGUGGCUGGCGGCGGCUAGAGGUGAAGCGGAUCGGGCGGCUGGCGGCGACGGGAGAUGAAUCGAAGGUGGCGGCGGCUGGAGGCGGCGGGGGAUCCGACGGGGCGGCCACGGGAGGAGCCGGCAGCAGGGGCUACGGCGGGCGUUUGAUCUGGCGGUACAACAGCAGCUGGACGAGAAUGGGAGCUGCAGCAAGAUCGAGAGAAGCAGCAGGAGGACAUUGGGAGCAGCAGCGAGAUCCGGUAGGAGCAGCGAGACGAACGGCGGCUGCGUGGAGGAGGAUUGGAGCACGAGUUGCGCGUGCGAAGAAAAAACCCUAGAGCUCUAAUACCAUGUUAGGAAUAAGCGACUUGUAUUCUCAUGAGGCCACAGGCCGGUAUAUAUACAUGUACAGGUGAUGAACUAUAUGGAGGAAACCUCUUAUAUAUUAGGAUAAAUACAAAAGGGUACAUGGCUAUAUUAUAUAUACUCUAACAGACCCGAAGUCUUGAUUAAGCAUUAUGGGGCCAAAAAUUAUCAUAAUUGCCGGAAUGAGAAGUUGCCAUCAAUAUAAGCAUAACGAAUUACCACAGCCACAUGUAUCCUCGAUUGUCAGACGGCAACCCUGAAGAGGUUAAAUUUUUUGAAAGAUCCAGCUUGGACUGCUGGCAUAUAUUAGAACUUAGCAGGUAGAANNNNNNNNNNNNNNNNNNNNNNNNNNNNNNNNNNNNNNNNNNNNNNNNGCGAUUACAGCAAGGCGGGGGAUACGAUCCUAGGAUCAAGGAGAAAAAGGGAGAGAAACUUAAAAAGAAAACGAGAGGGGGGGGGGUAGAGUCGAUCCCUCACGGAGGAUCCCAGAAAGGGGGCUCCAAGAAGAAUGCUCCAUCUUGUCUCCAUAGCUCAACGGUUCUCGUGAUUGCGCAUUGUAAGUCUUGUAUCUGCGCCUGCUUGUUUGAGAAGGUGCAAUCAUUCCUGUGUUUCCAAAUCUCCCAUAGAAUCAGUAUGAUCAUCGUCUUGGUAGCCUUGCGGUGAAGUGGUUGGGCCGCCCCGAUCAUUGCGGUUAUCUUCUCGACUGACCCAGUCUUCGUCGCCCAUAAGGGAGGGGACAAAGAGGCGCAUCCAGCCCUGGAGGCGGCCUCCGUCCAAAUCUGCAGCGUCAUGGGGCAUUCCCAGAACAGAUGUACUGAUGUCUCGAGGUUCCGUAGGCAUAGCUGACAGAAAUAGCCGUUUGGCCAUCGACGACGUUGCAGUCGGUCAUUGCACCAUAACCUGUUGCGAAGAACUAGCCAGCAAAAAAUCUUGAGCCUAGGGGGUGCCCAGGUCCUCCACAUUAACUUCUUGAAAUCGGACGUUAGCCUUCCUUGGAACUGUGCAUUGUAUGCCGACCUGGCCGAGUAUGUUUGUGAGGCCUCAAGGUUCCAUGUAAUAGUGUCCGCAGUUUCUGCGUGCAGUUGCAAAUCUUUGUCUUGUAGCCAUCUGUGGAGCCUAAUCGCGUCCUCCCAAAGGUGCGAAUUGCUACCAUGUGCUAAGUCUGCUACCCAGGUGUUGUCCCGAAGAGCCUCUCGCACUGUUCUUUGCUUCCUCCUCGAGUGCUUGAAAAGGGAUGGGAACAGUGUCUUGAGGGAACUUGUUCCCGUCCACGAGCAGUGCCAGAAGGAUGUCGUUGCGCCGUUGCCUAGGGUGACAGUUGUUGAUGCGUUGAAAAGCUCUCUGUCCACCUCGUCGCAGGGAAGAUUCAUGCCCUGCCAGGCCCUGUCAUUGCUCGUCCAUUGCAGCCAAAGCCAUCUUAGCCUGAGGGCCCAGCUGAAACGGUUUAGGUCAAGGAUGCCAAGUCCCCCAUUCUCCAAAGGGGAGCAGACUGUGGGCCAAUUCACUUUACUCUUGCCUCCACCUAGCUCCCCGUCUUCUUGAGCCCACAGAAAACGGCAUCUAGCUCUAUCUAUCUCGUCGAAGAAUUUCCUCGGCGCCCUUAGCACAGAUAAUGCGAACGUGGGUAGAGCUGAGAGGACGUUACGUACUAAGACUCGCCUGCCGGCUAUGUUAAGAAGCUUCCCCUUCCAUCCCGCUAAUCUAGCUCUGAUCCUGUCUAAGAUGAACUGAAUGUGGACGAGCCUAAGCCUCGAUAAAGUUAUCGGCAGGCCCAGGUAGGUCAGCGGGAAGUCGACUACUUUCCCUCCGAAGGCGGCUAAGAUGUGGUGCAGAUCGGCACCAUCCACAUCUGAUCGGAGCAGCUGUUGAUUUGGACGGAUUGAUGAGCAGCCCCGAUGCUCGCCAAAAGUCACGUAGGAUAGCCAUGAGAACUAUGAUCUCUUCUGCUGCCGGAUUGGCAAAGAUGACGGCGUCGUCUACAUAGAGGCUAACUCUGAGGGGAAUUCCCCUGCCUGGUAGCGGUGCAAUUUCUUGCAACUCCGUGGCCUUCUCAAGGAGGCGGUGGAGGGUGUCAAUGGCGAUGAUGAAGAGCAGUGGGGAGAGGGAGUCUCCUUGCCGUAGGCCCCGUUGAUGGGUGAAGUAGCAGCCGGUAGUGCCGUUUAGCAAGACGGCCGAAGAGGCCGUGCAUAGCAGCAGGGACACCCAGUCCCGCCAGCGUGCCGGAAAACGUAGUUGCUGCAACACCUCUAGAAGGUACUCCCAUGAGACGCUAUCGAAAGCUUUAGCAAUGUCUAUCUUAAGCAGGAGAGCUCGUUGUUUCUUCCUAUGCAGUGAUCGCACUAUAUUUUGCACAUAGAGGAAACUAUCUUGCGUUGAUUUGGAGCGAAGGAAAGCAGAUUGCGCAGGUGAGAUUAUGGUACUAAUCACCGCGGAUAGACGCCGGGAGAGGACUUUGGAGAUUAGCUUGGCCACCGAAUGAAUUAGACUAAUCAAUCUGUAGUCCUGGAUCGCACUCGCACCGUCCUUCUUUGGUAACAGAAUUAUCAGGGCUGUGUUUAGCUUGGCGAAGUCUCCUCUAGACAGAUUGUAGAAGCUAGUGAAUGUUGCCAUGAUGUCUUCUUUGAUAAUGUACCAGCAGACUCUAUAGAAGGUCCCAGAGAAUCCAUCUGGCCCUGGGGCCUUCUCUACCGGUGAUGCUUUGAUCGCCUCCCAGACCUCUUCCUCAGAGAAGGGGUUGUCUAAGCCCCUAUUAUGGACAGAUGGUAGGUUAAAGAUCGACCAGUCCACUUGUAGGGAUCGCUCUAUCCUGCUACCCAUGGAGAGUUUGAAGUGGUUGUGAAUGGCCUCCUCCUUGUGCUCGUGCGCCGUAAGCAGGUCGCCUCCUACUCGAAGGCAGUGGAUAAAAUUCUUCCGCUUCCUAGUAGUUGCCUUGGCAUGGAAGAACUUGGUGCCCGCGUCUCCUAGCCGGAGCCAGGUGAGCCGAGAGGCCUGUCUCCUGCACGCUCUAGUGCCGCGAGACCCAGCAGUCGUAGUUUGAGCAGCUUACGGAGGGCAUGCUCUGCGUCUGAGAGACGGCGCCUCUCCUGUGCGACAUCUAGCCGUAGCACUAUCUCUGCCGCCAUGUGGAAUUGGAGCUUGGCCUGGCUAAAGAAGCUCUUACUCCAGUUCUUGAGCUCUCUUGCAGUCCUCGCCAUCUUCGUGGCAAGGCGUUGGAAUGGACACGAGGACCGCUCCGUCCUCUUCCAUGCCCGCUCGACCGUUGCAUGGAAGCGAGGGAAGCUGGGCCAGAAGUUCUCGAAUCUGAAUAGGGCUGUCCUGGGGGCAGCAGAAGUGUCAGCUAAUAUCAGCGGGCAGUGAUCUGAUGUUGCUGUCGACGCUGUGAUGAGUGCUACGGAUGGGAAAAUGCAUUCGCAGGAUGUGUUGCAGAAGAAUUUGUCGAUGCUCAUUAGGGUUGGGUCGUUGCGCUCGUUGCUCCACGUGUAUCUAUGGUUCUUGCAUUUGAUCUCCUUCAGACCCUUAGCAUCGAUGGCUGCUCGGAACCAACCCAUCAACCUGCGGCUGAGAUUUAUGUUGCUCUUGUCCCGUGCCUCGUAAAUGAGGUUGAAGUCGCCGUUGAUGAGCCAAGGAUCGUUUGGUGGUGACGCCGAGAGUGAGAGUUCCCGAAGGAAAGCGUUCUUUCUUGCGUCAUCCGCCGGACCGUAGACUGUCGAGAGCCAGAAGUCCUGCGCCUGCCCGAGGAAGGUGACUUUGGCUGUAAUAGCAAAAAUUCCUAUGGCAUGCGAUGAGAUUGUGACCAGGUCCUUGUCCCAAAGGAUCGCCGCGCCUCCACUAGUCCCUAUUGCCGAUAGAACUAUACAUCCUGUAAGCCUGGCGCUCCCUAUCUCGCGGACUAGUUCCGGUGACCAGGCGGAGAUCUUUGUCUCUUGGAUGCAAAGAAUGGUUGUGCGCUGGGCGGCUGCCAGCUCCCCGACUGUCGCUCUCUUAGCUGGAUUGUUCAGGCCCCGAACAUUCCAGCACAUGAUGGGUUGAAUCUUGUUAUGCAUCUAAAACACAAAGGAAUCUCCGAUGAUUAGAACAGGACGGCCCAGGGCCGACAAAGCACACCACCUUCAUACACGGUUUGGGCCGGCGCCCACCAACAGCACCCAAGAUGCGCCGGCACUCAAGAUUCAAACUACUGGCACUACGAACUGGAAAACAUACUAGGUAGCAACGGUUGGGGAUCGGACGCCAUCGGAGGCUAAUACUAAGGGCAGAUAACAUGAUCACACGAUGGCCUCAUCGGCAGCUCCGUCGGGUCCGUUCAUACGAGCCAUGACCCGCAGCGCCUCGUCGUCCAGGUGAGUCAGCCUUGCGAUGACCGAGAUGUCGCCGUCUGACAGUGGCUCUUCGAAGCGCUGGAGAAGCGCCUUCGCUACUUCUGCCGUGAGCCUAUCUCGAGGGCCGAGAAGACCAAGCUCCUUUACGAUGCGCAGGGAUGCGCGCUGUGCCACCGGUACUGAGGAGCCGAUGGCAGCUUGCCGCGCACUGGAACGGGUCGGGGUAGAGGUGGCCCUCGUCUUGGGUGGCGCCGCGGGACGGCGCGCGGGUGCAGUAGCAAUGAGGGGCUGCUGCUUGGAGUUCCGGAAGAGACCUCGCGAUUCCGGCCCGGCUACUCUCCCGCCGAUCUCCAACUCCCUGACGCGUCCAGUGACAGCCCCGAGCUGGACCUCGAGAGGUAUGGCUGCUGAAGGGGUGGCCUUGUGGAACUGACCCAGCUCGGAUGCCGCGGCCGACAGCGUCGGGCUGAAGGCGUCCAGCUCCACCGACUCCCCCGGGGCUUGGAGAAGUGUGGCGUCGACGAAGUCAAGUGGGGCUGCGACUGCCGCCUCCGCGGCGUUGUGGACGUCAGCCGCCAGACCGUCGACGACGACGGAGGCGAGGGAGGGUUUCUUUGCGGUCUUGAAGAACUCUUCGACCGGGUCCUUGCCUACUGAACUGGACCUGUGACCUAGCUCGGGCUGGCUGCCCGCUGCAGCGUCGCCCGCGGACUUGGCUGACAGAGUCGGAGUUGACGAGACACUAGGACGCCUCGUCGGGCGCCUGGCCGACGCUUUGCUCCUCCCUGCCCCCGAGCGGCGGUCCGAAGACUCCCCAGUGUCGCGCCUUGCCGGUGGUGAUCUGCUGCGGCGGCGCCGAGAAGGCGAGGCGCGAGGGGCGCGCGAGGCGCCGCGGCGCAGGAGGACGUCCUUCCAGGACCUGUGGCCGCCUGCGCCCGAACCGCCCUCGCCGUCCCGGUCCCUUGGACGGCUAUCUCUAGGGGCGCCCCUGCACCCCACGCUGGCCACAGGAGCGGGAGCCCGGCGGUGUGCUCGCUCCCCUCCUUGGCCAUCUUCCACCCCCAGCGUCCAGGACGCAGGGGCCACGAGGGGAAAGGGAGUACCCUCGUCGUCGGAGCCAGACGACGGCAGUCCGCUGUGGGCGGAGCGGGAGGAGCGCGGAGAGGGCUGCGUCCAAUCCUCCACCCUGUCGACGUGAAUCAGCAUGGAGUACUCCGCCGAGGCCGGCGGUGGCGCGACUCUCCUGUCUGGUGGGGAGAAUCCCUCCAUCUCCUCCACCCUGCCGGCUCCACGAGGAAGGACCCCCAGCGUGUGCGACGUAGGGAUGUCCGCCACGUCUCUGGCCCAGACCCAGCAGGCAAAGGUCUUGGUGUGUCCUCGCUCAAGAGUCCGGCUGACGAGGCGGUCGACGCGGACCCGCCGGCCGAGGAUUUCCUCCGCCCCCUCCACCGACCAGAAGUGCAUGGGGACCUUCUCGAUGACGACGCGGACGUGGAGCAGGAGGGAGUCGAACGUGGCGAGGUCAUGCUCGUGCCACGGGCUGAUGUUGAAGCAGGCGCCGUCGAUCCGAAUGGAGCCCCGGCGCACGGCGUUGACCUGAUGAGCAGGCUGCGUGAAGGUGACGAAGAAGUGCUCGGGGUGGUGAGCUGUGACCCGCAGAGAGUGAACUGGCACCGAGAGCUGCGCCUCCAGGGCCUUGCCCACAGCCAUCGGCGAGGAGAUGUUGACCCCGUCAGCUGCGGUGAUAGUCACGGCGUGGCUACGGAGGAAGAACACCGCCUGGUCCAGAGCGGGGGAGAGCACCGCCGUGGACCGGCUCUCCCUGGGGCGCCGAGAAGGGUCGAGGUGACGGAGCAUGGAGGGAGUCGCCGGAGCCAUGGCCGCAGGUGGAGGAGGAGGGAAACGCAGACGGUCGGACAGUUGAAUCGUGCGAGGCGUCGGACCCAGCCUCUCUCUAAGCGAGAUGCCUGCCUUUCGGUUACGGGGGCACCUAGAGGCGAUGUGCCCUGCUCUCCUACAACUAAGGCAAUGAACUGGGUCACGGCAGGACGCCAAGCGAUGGCGCUUGCUGAGACAGCGAAAACAACGGCCGGCGAACGGGCUAAUAUGGAGCGGCGCAGCUUGCGGGUCAGCAGCAGAGUGGACAACGCGGCGGUCGGACCGGCGCGUACCUGGAAGAGACCGAGGGGCCGAGGGGUCCGCCGGUGCCAGGCGCUUUCCCCGCCGAGCCACCUCGGUCCAGCCCGGAUCCGUUCCCGAAAUGGUAACCUCGGCUCCCGAGGAGUCGACGAUGAUGGACUUGACGCGCCGGCCUUGAAUGCGCCCGGGCUCCCCCGGGACAGGUGAUGGAUCUCGCACCCGCGGAUCCCGCAGCUCCCAUCUCCUGUCUCCCAUCGGCGCCGGGGAGGGGGCACGCGGCGGACCGUCGGGUGCCGCGUAGGAGCACUCCCCUCGGAGCAGGAUCCGCGGCGCUGGGGCUGGAUCCGGCAGGGACCCCUGGGGCGACGCAGGAGGAGGAGGCCGGGCUGGAUCCGGCGGCGACGCAGGGGGAGCAGGCGACGGACCGCGGGGCUCUACGACGGCGCGCCGGCUGGAGCAUGGGGAGGCCGGGAAAACCGGCGGACCGCCGGGGAAGGCCCGCCCCGGCCGGUCAUAAUGGCUUGGUGGGUGGCCGCCGCGGCCGGAGUGGCCUGCGGCGCGGGGAGGGGUUGCAGGCUCUCUCGGGCUGGUCUCACUCACCUUCUCUAUCCCAGCUACAAUGGGUGACGAUGGUUAUCGAAGAGGUUAAAUGAGAAGCUGAUUAUUAGCCAUCAACAUUAUUUGGGUAAGUUUUGCUCCUUAGUGCAACACUAUUCCAUUAAUCAGUUUAUUACGUGAUACAUCCAGUCAACUUUUUUCUUCUUUUUUGCGAAAUGCCUAUUCAAGCCUUUGAAACUCUGCAUUUUGAAUCAUCCAGUCACUAACUAAUAAGUUAACGUGAGACUGUUUUUUGCAAAAAUACAUUAGGUUCCUCAAUAGAGAAAUUGUCCAAAUAUCAUCUGUCCUGUUUGCCCUGCCAAUUUCAGAAGCUUGAAUUGAAGUGCACAAAUCAAUCUGUGGUUUGUUAGAAGUAUAAUUGAAUUUAAGUCGAAGAUAAAAAGAUAAAGAGAUAGAGAUAAAAUUAGUUUAAACCACAUGUAACUUGUAUUGUACUCCAAGCCUCUACCCCUCAAGUACUCCUAUAUAUACCCCUAUAAGGGUUAGAGCAAUACAACACAAAAACACACAAUACUCGGCCAUCUAUAUUUUUCACAUGGUAUUAGAGCGGUUAGUCUCACGACGCCGAUCAUAGGUUCCUUCAUCACUUCUGCAGCACGCCGCCCCAGGAAGAUUAAUAUUCUCUCCCCGGAGACGCGGCACCCGAUCAAUCAAAGAUUAGAUCCGUUCUUGUAGCUUAGAUCAAUUCUUUAGAUUAGAUCAAGAUUCAAUUUUUCAAAAUUCCCUAGUCCAUCUAGUAGAUUGAUCCAACUCCGGUGAAAAGAAGUGCAGAAUGGACAUCAUCGGUGGUGCGCCGCAACGGCAGCGCACGGGGACGGGGGACAUCGCCGGAUGGACUACAUCGACGGGGAGGCUUCCGGCCCGGAACGACAACCUGCACCAUGUGCGCAUGGACUCUACAUCGACGAUUUGCUCAGCCAUGUGCCGCAGUCACCGUGAGACGCACGGUCGUUUCAGGCCCUCCAGCUGGUGUAUGAUCCAUGCAUACAUAGGAUGGAUCCAAGGAGAUCCAUAGCACGUUCAUACGUGCACGUGCCAUAGCAUAUAUCCGUGCAUGGUUUGGACACCUGCGCAUCCAUACUUCUUCCCAGGUCUGCCGAGCUGCAUCACUUGGAUCACGGGAGGGCGGACUCCUGAACUCCGUCGACUCCAGCGCCAUGUACGAUGACGAACUACACCGAGCCAAGCUACACCACCUCUUGCAUCGAGCUACAUCGAUCUGCACGUGUACCUGCGUCGGCAUGCCAUUUACAUCGAGCGAACGAACCAGCCGAACGUGCACCAGCAGCACGCAUCGAUCACGGGAGGGCGAACGCUCACACGCAUCGUUAACAACCACUAGUGGGGACAGGGCCUAUAGCCCCGGCCCUUAAGGGGCUUUAAUCCUCGUUCACCAAGCGGGACUAAAGGGACGGGACUAAAUGCCUAACCUUUAGUCUCGGCCCUGUUUCAAGCCGGGACCAAAGGUGUUUCACAUGGGCGCUUCGGAGCGUCCUCAGUGGCAGGCCUUUAGUCCCGGGUCUUAACACGGACCGGGACUAAAGAGUUUCUGCAGAUUUUGUUUAUUUUAGGGUUUUAGGGUUUAGGUGUUCGGGAGAUUAACGUGAUGCCUCGUUUGGUGUUCGGGAUUUAGUUUUUAUAUAAUUCUAAAUACACAUGUUUAUGCAUAUAUAUAUACAAUCGAAACCUGAAGGUUUGGAAUAUCGACAAAGACUUAGCCAUGGACAGGGGUGCGUGGAAGUUAGCUAUCCACGUUCCAGAGCCAUGACUUGGUUUCGAGAUCUUAUGGGUUUCAACUCUAGCCUACCCCAACUUGUUUGGGACUAAAAGGCUUGGUUGUUGUUGUUGUAUGCAUAUAUAUAUAUAUAAGAUUAACUUAUCUUACAAGUGAGCAUAUAUAUACAAUUAUAUGGAGAUCUGAAUUAUCGGGACUAGAGCCCGUCUAUUCGAUUACAUGGACCAACAUCAGUAAUGGCCCCUAGCUACACUAAAUCGUCAUUUGUCAUCUAUAGCUUACGUCCUCAGAAAGGUCGCAAACUCCUCUGCAACAGCAAUCGCGCAUUGCUCUGGUAGGGACUUCUCCCUCAUGGUCGUGUACUAUAUAAGAAGAGGAGAUGAAUAUGAAUAUCAAUCAUGAUAACAAAGGAUGACGGGUAAAAAUAUAGGUGUGAACGUUCAUUGCUUACGUCGUAUGUGUGAUCCUUGUGCUCAGAGGUAAACGUGCGAAUGGUCUCGCAAACAUAGUAUCCGCAUAGAUGCGUCCCUCGUGGCUGUUGGUCGCACUUUACGAGAAUAGAAUAUAUAUAAUCAAAAUAAUAAUCUAGCAUCAUAAAUGUAUUGAAAAUAGAAGUAUAUCAUACUACUACUUACCUGAGCCGCUCUAAAGGUUAGCUUCUCAGGCUCGAUACCGGGAGUCACGCACUUGAACCGCUUCCAAACCCUGCCCGACAAGGAAAAUGAUUUGCUAAGUUUUUCAUUAAUUGAUAUAUCAGAAAAUCAUCGAAAGAGACCGAUAGAGCGCAAGAAUGAUUGAAAUUACCCUUGGAGCAUGUCCUGCAGGCUUUGGAACUGUUCCAAGGGUCUCGAUAAUGGGUCGAAGGCAUCAACUCUUCCCUUAUCAAUUUGAAUGUCCAACAGAAUCCAAUGGAAGCUGCACAUGUAUAUAUAUAUGUUAGAAACCUUAGAAGGUUUUCCUCCGUCUCCUUGGGUUUAUCAGUUAGCGUCGCUAUAUGUAUUUUAUCUGGCUCAAUAAACCCAAUAUUUAGGAUGUUCCUACUUUUACAUUCCAGAAUCUUCAUUCUGCAUAAUAGAGUAUAAGUUAUAUGUAGACAAUGAAUUGAAAUAACUAAACAAGUUAUAUGUAGACAACGAAUUGAAAAACAUACAAACAAUAGCAACUCAUAAGCGAUUUGUCGAGGGCGUCGGCAUUGUACAUCUGGAAGAGUUCAUCAAAGUCGAUAUGGAUUUCUUCGGGGCGGUCGUAGUACUCCCGUGGGUCACUCACCACGAUCAUCGUUCUCUCAUUCUUUGAUUCACUUAAGUAUCAUGUAUGCAAGUAACGCAUAUUUGUUCGGAGAUCAUCUUUGCUGACCAAAGGCGCUCCCAUGACAAACUGUGGCUUAGGGGCUACCACAGCCUUGGGUAACGUGUCGUCUUGGGAAGCCAGAACGUCUUCAACCGGGAUACCCCAUUCAUCCGCCCACUUCUUUGCUAAUUCCAAAUCUUGCCCCUGCACCAGAGGGGGGGGCAUUCUCGGGUAACACCCUGAGGGGUGGGAUCGACUGUUUGGCCUGUUGUCCAAGUUGAGGAACGUCUGAUCUUUUUUUGCUUGUAGUUGAACUUGAUUUGCUCCCACUUGCACUUGCACGUGAUCUGCUCUUUUUCCCUUCCUUCUGCAAUGUGCGUGUAUAGUCAUCAGGCUUAUGGUGUAAGUCAUACUGUGAUGGAAGGUUCGUGAAGUAUUUUGCAAAUGCUAUUUGCUUCUCGGUGUAUUCCGGGCGGGGCUCGGGUUCCUUCUUUUUCAUCUGCGCAUCAUGAUAUUCCUUUGCUAUCCUGGUGUUUUCCUCGGCGGUACGAUCAUAAGGUCUGAUAGGAAGAUUAGCAUGAGGUACCUUUGGGAGGGGCGACAGUUUGCGCUUUGGGGAGCUCCUUCGCUUAGAAAUCAUCGACGGAGCGUUCUUGCUGGCACGCUUCCGCUUAGUAUCCGGAGCGGGCGGCGGCGGAGACGGACGACCCAAGUCCGGCGGCGGUGAUCGAGAUGGACUUGUGUUGUGCUGGCCGUCGUCAUGUGGAGGGCUUGGAGGUGAUGGAGGUGUAGGUGACCUGCGACGACUUGGAGGCAGUGUUGUCCUUGGGGCCGAGCCUGGAAGCUUGAUGUAGUUCUUGUCCCAUAGGAUGACUCCACCCAGUACUUCUCCGAGUGUCCUCUCAUCUUCGGGUCUAGCUAUGUCAAUCUCCAUAUCAUGAAACCCCGCCAUGAUUUCAUCCACCCCGACUUUAGCAAAGCCAGCUGGAAUCUCAUGGCCAUGCCAGCGUGCAUCAGGGCCAGAAGGUAAAGCUUGUCCGACGGCCACCUUCAUGGAUAUGUUCCUGAAUUUCUGAUGGAGUUCACAUGAUGUUGACUCCUUGAUUCCAUCCACGGGGUAGCCGGGACCGUCCUCUAUCAUUCUUCGUGCAUCGUCGGGCGGGGCCUCGGAUUCAGCCACGCUGCUUUUCCGCUUAGAUGGGGCGCCGGUAAUAUCGAGUGCAGGAUCUUCCUGGCGCGCUACUCCUCUAAGCUCAUCAAUCUGCUUCUGUUGCUCGUUAAUCCUGGCAAGCAACUGGUUGAACUUGUCAUUCUCCUCAUCCUGUUGUCGCUUCUUUGCUCUCGCUCGGCUUCUGUAAGUGUCUUGGUCUCUGGCAAACCCAAGCCACCAUGGGUAAGAAGGACCGAAGCCUCGCGUUCGUCCUCCAUGUUCGUCAUUGCCGAGGACUAGUGUGAGCAAAUCUUUCUCUCUAUCUGCAGUGAACUGUCUUUUUCCCUCCUUAAUUUCUUUCACUAUCUUUUUCCAAUUCUCCCUGGGUAUCCUAAGACCGUCACUGCAGAUGAGGUCCCCUGUUUCUUCGUCGUACGAACCACCAUGCGCAAGGAACCAAUUUCUUGCUCUCAAUUCCCACUCGUCACGGAGUGGUUCAGGUAUGAUGCCUUUAGCUAGCAGAUCUUGCUCUUUAUUAUCCCACUUUGUGAUGGCAGUCUCAUAGCCCCAUGGCCCCAGCGUGUGGUGAUAUUUCUUCUUGUCGGCAUUUUUCUUGUUCUUUUCUAAUAAUGCCUUGGCGUCUUCUAACUCCUUGUACUCUUGAAAUGCCUUCCAGUGAUUCGCCUGCUUGGCUAGAUAACCCUCGAAUACUGGCACUUUCUUUGUCUUCAGAUAGUUUUUCCAUAGCUUCUUCUUCCAGCUACGGAACAGUUCGGCCAUCUUCUUUAGAGUCCACUGCUUGACUUUGGCCCACAGUUUUUUUGCGGCGUCUUCAUUCUCACAUUCUGGCAGGUUGAAAUGUGACAUGAGAUCAUUCCAAAUAUUAUCUUUGUACCUUUCGGCGACAUAGUCACUAUCGGCUGCCCCUUUGCGCUUGUUCCACUCCCGAACGCUGAUCGGGACAUGAUCCCUAACGAGAACUCCGCACUGCUUCUUGAAUGUGUCAGCAACAUUCCUAGGAAGCUUGGGUUCGCCCGUAGGCAAUAUCACCUCAAAGGUGUAAUGCGUCCGUGCAUCCAACUUUCUAGUCGGGCCUCGUUUCGUAGAUUUGCUCGAUGUGGAGGCCUAAGAGGGAGAAACAUUCGUCAAAUGAAUGUAUAUCUAUACAAUAUAGAGCUAUCUCCAAUAUUUUUCACACAUUACAAGUGAUUUUCGAACUUCAUAUGUAUACCUCGCCGGACUUUAUUAUUUCUCCACCGGCUUCUCCAUUAGUGGAGCUAUCACCUUCUCCGUCAUUGGACCUAUCUCCUGCCCCAUCGGCUUCAUCUUCGUGUCGGUCGACCUCCAUUCCAUAUUCGGAGGGGUUUAGAUAUGACGACGGAGAUUCAGCUGGUUCAACGUCGGGGCCGUCUUUGAUUAUAUCUUCGAGAAGUUCUUCCUCUUCGAGGUUCCUGAUAUGUGGAUCCAUAGUUCUGCAAAAAACGGACAUUUGAUUAACUAAUAAACUAACAAACUAUAUAAGAGGGGUUGGAAACUUCGAAGUGUCGUUUUAUAUAGGAGGACCUUUAGUCCCGGGUCUUGGCUAGAACCUAAACUCUAAAAUAUGUCUAACGGAUUCUCUUAACCUUUAAGGAUUUAACAAAAUGGCGACAUUCUAGAUGUGUAGAAAAUGAUCCUAUUUUUCCUGAUCUCAUCUACCCUUCUAUAUGUCACAUUGUCUAGUGUCAAAGGACUUUGUCAAACUUUGUACCAAAAAAGAAUUAUUCUAUCAGGAACUCCGUUCCAAAACAACUUUAGUCCCGGGUCGUGGCUCCACCCGGGACUCCUAGAUUUCUGCAUAGUAUUCAAAGUAGGAGUACUUUUCCAAUUUGAUCAUUCAAUAAGCAAAACCAAAUCAUAAAAUAAAGUAGUAUUCAAAUUAGCAUGCAUUCAAUUAUAAGCAAAACUACAUCAUCUCUUGUGUCCGUACAUCGUCGAAUAUUAUCACUAAUACUCCUCGAAUACUAUCAUACAUAUAGCAUCACUGAUACAGCUAGAACCGUAGCGCCCGACGGGUAUCGUCGCGGGCGAUGGACACCCAAAGAGAAGGAACCAUCACAGGAGCAUAGCUCCAGUGAGAUCCCUGAAGAACCUGCCAGGUAUGCUCGAACCUGCCCUCCAACGCAACCAUGUAGCGACGGACGUGCUCAUCCUCCUCGCUGACACGGUGAUGUACCACCUACGCGGUGUCCGGAAGCCUCGGCACCGUCACUGGCCCACGCGACCGCCACCAAACAAGGAUUGGGUCAACAACGGGCUGGCUCCUCACCAACCUACGCCCCCCGGAAGGUAGCACCUCCCAAUACCAGCCGGGCGGAGCCCAGUCCCGGACAUGGCCCCUCUGAUCAAGCAGGUGUCCUCCGCCGAGUCGAAGACGAGGAUGCGGGAUAGGCAUCGUAAAAUGAACUAAAAAAAUAAACUAGUUCUAUUAAUUUUCUAAAAAAUGAACCAAAUAUUCUACAAAUAACACUUAAGCAUAUACAAUAGCAAAAUUAAGCAAUAAUCUAAAAAACACUAAUUAAGCAUCUAUAUACGUAGAAAUGUCUUCUUCUUCUUCUUCUUCUUCUUCUUCUUCUUCUUCUUCUUCUUCUUUUAUUCUCCGCUUCUUCUUCUCCUAUUUUUCUUCAACUUCUCUUCUUCUACUUCUCCUCUUCUUCUAUGUUUCCUCUUCUUCUCCUCUCCUCCUCUUCUUAUUCUCCUUUUUCUUAUUUUCUUCUCCUCCUCUUCUUAUUUUCCUUUUUCCUAAUCUUAUUUUCUUAUUUUUGUUCAUCUUUCUUCUUCUUGUAACCCUAACCUAAUUCUAAAUAUUACUAACCCUAAUAAUCUAGCACAAACCUAAUAACAAUAGGAAUUAAACGACAAAAAAAUAUUUUCUUCUUUUCUUCUCCUUUUUCUUCUUUUCUUCUCCUUUUUCUUCUUUUCUUCUCCUCCUCACCGGCCGGCACGACGGCGGCGGUGGCGUCUCCGCCGGCGGGCGCCGGCGGCUCGUCCUUCGUACGUGUUGGGGAGGAGGAGGGGGCGGGGGGCUUACCGGAGUGGGCAGGGCGACGGCGCCGACGAGGAGGACGGCGAGGAGGACGGCAGGGCGACGAGGAGGACGGCGAGGAGGAUGGCGAGGAGGACGGCGAGUAGGAUGGUAGGGGGACGGCGACGGCGGGCAGCCUGACGGCGUCGAGGAGUUCGUCCGUUGCCGCGCCGGGCAGGAGAGGCGAGCGAGAGGAAGAAGAGAACGAAAUGGAUUUUCGUUCGCGUCGUAUAUAUAGUAAGAUCUUUAGUCCCGUUUCGGGGCUCGAACCGGGACUAAAGACACCCUUUAGUCUCGGGUGGAGCCACGACCCGGGGCUAAAGACCCCUUUUCGGCAAGCGAGGAGGCGGGAAACGAGGGGCUUUAGUCCCGGAUCGGGGCUCGAGCCGGGAUUAAAGACACCCUUUAGUCCCGGGUCUAGCCACGACCCGGGGCUAAAGACCCCUUUUCGGCAGGCGGCACGCGAGGGGCUUUAGUCUCGGGUCGUGGCUCCACCCGGGACUAAAGCCCCUCCCAAGGUUUCGAACGAGAACUCAUCUCUUACAAAGGGAAUUCAUUUUUUUGAACUUAUUUGAACUCCAUACUUUUUGUGUGUUCAAAAUGCACCAUUCAAAGGCACAUCACAAAGUUUCAACAAUUUCUGACUUAAUUUGGUAUAUUUCGUGCAUUUACUUAUUUUUUUUAGCUAGUUGACCCUAAAAUUGAAAAGCACUACAAAUGAACUCUGAAAAUGUUGAAAUUUGGCAUGCUAUCAUCAUUUCACCCACAUAGCAUGUGUUAAAAAGUUGAGAGGGCUACGACAAAAACUGGAUGCACUUCGUGUACAAAACGGAUAUCUCUCUCGAAGUAUCAGCGUUUCGAACGAGAACUCAUCUCUUACAAAGGUUUAUUAAAAUUCUUUUUGCAUAUUUGAGAAUUUGACAAAACUAUGAUAAAGCCCCUCCGCUGGCUGCACGAUAAGUUUAGUCCCACCUCGCCCAGCGAGGGGCACUGAUACUAGUUUAUAAGCCCCGUCGCAGCAUCUCCAUCGAGCUCCUCUCUAAAGCAGGCUUACGGGCCUAAACAGACUGUAAAUUUAAAAAUAGAAACUAUAUUUGAAAUUAUGGAGAAAAUUCAACCUGAAUUCAAAGUGAGGUCACUUUGAAUUUAGGUUUAAUUUUCUCUAUAAAUUCUCAUAUAGUUUCAAUUUUUUUCUAUUUUCAAAAUUCAUUAUUUUGACUAUCCAAACUAUUAACUAUUUUGUUAUUUUCAAUUAAAAACUAUGUUUAUUAAAAUUCUUUUUGCAUAUUUGAGAAUUUGACAAAACUAUGAAAAUGAAAAGUGUUUGAAAUUUAGUACAUUCCAUACAUGCAUUACAUAAAAGGUUUAAUACAUUAUUACAUUAUUGCACCAAUAUUCCUAUCUAUUAUUUAUGUUUUCUUCUGGGUCGUAGCCAUGGAGAAUCUUCAUCAUUCAGUAGGAUGCUUGGGUCAGUUUUCACUUUGAAGGACGGAAUUUCAUGAAACUUAUUAUAAUUUACUGACAUGUCUGUCUUGUCAUCUACUCCCACGAUGUUUCUUUUCCGUGAAAGAACUAUGUGGCGUUUUGGCUCAUCGGACGAUAUCUUCUUUUGCUGAUUUCUUUUUCUCGUUUUUGUAGACAUGUCCUUCACAUAGAAAACCUGAGCGACAUCAUUGGCUAGGACAAAUGGUUCGUCCAUGUACGGAAGAUUGUUGAGAUCCACUGUUGUCAUGCCGUACUUUUGGUCUACAACUACCCCGCCUCCUGUCAGCUUCACGCAUUUGCACCGAAACAAAGGGAUCUUAAAAGUAGGUCCAUAGUCAAGUUCCCAUAUCUCCUCUAUGUACCCGUAAUAUGUUUCCAAACAGUGCCCAUUCUCGUCUGUUGCAUCAAAGCGGACACCACUAUUUUGGUUGGUGCUCUUUUUAUCUUGGGCAACCGUGUAAAAUGUAUUCCCAUUUAUCUCAUACCCUUGGAGAGUACAUAUAGUCGAAGAUGGUGGCCUGGCCAAACAGCACAGCUGAUCUCCAACGGUGUCGUCAUUCAUGAGAUGUGUCUGCAACCAACUGCCGAAAGUCUUCUCGCGUUCCCCUUUAAUCCAAGAGUCAGCCUUUCUCGGGUUUUCGGAGCGUAGAAUAUUCUUGUGUCUCACGAUAUACGGAGCCACCACGGUGGAAUUGUGUAGAACUGUGUAGUGUGCUUGAGAGAAAGAAUGCCCGUCCAUACAUACUUUUGCUUUCCUUCCUAGUGUGCCUUUUCCUGUCAGCCUACACUCAUACCGAGAUUCAGGAACACCAAUCGGCUUAAGGUCAGGAAGAAAGUCCACACAAAACUCAAUGACCUCCUCUGUUCCAUAGCCCUUGGAGAUGCUUCCUUCUGGCCUAGCACGGUUACGAACAUAUUUCUUUAAGUCUCCCAUGAACCUCUCGAAGGGGAACAUAUUGUGUAGAAACACAGGACCGAGAAUUCUAAUCUCUUCGACUAGGUGAACUAGGAGGUGUGUCAUUAUAUUGAAGAAGGAUGGCGGGAACAACAACUCAAAGCUGACCAGACAUUGGACCACAUCAAUCUGUAACCCUGAUAGACUUUCUCAAUCGAUUACCUUCUGAGAAAUUGCAUUGAGGAAUGCACAUACCUUCACAAUUGCCAGGCGAACAUUUUCCGGUAGAAUUCCCCUCAAUGCAACCGGAAGCAAUUGCGUCAUAAGCACGUGGCAGUCAUGAGACUUUAGGUUUUGGAAUUUUUUGUCUUUCAUAUUUACGAGUCCCUUUAUAUUCGACGAGAAGCCAGUCGGGACCUUGAUACUGAAAAGGACUUCAAAGAAGAUUUCCUUCUCUUCCUUAGUAAGAGUGUAGCUGGCACGCCCUUGCAACUAUCCUGGAUGCAUGACAUCUCUUCCUUUAUGACGUUCCUGGUCCUCCCGUGCUUCCGGUGUAUCUUUUGACUUCCCAUACAAGCCCAGGAAGCCUAGAAUAUUCACGCAGAGAUUCUUCGUCAGGUGCAUCACGUCGAUUGCCGAGCGGACCUCAUGGACUUCCCAGUAGGGUAGCUCCCAAAAUAUAGAUUUCUUCUUCCACAUGGGUACGCGCUUAUCAGGGCCGUUAGGAACAGGUUGGCUGCCAGGACCCUUUCCAAAGAUUACUUUUAAAUCUUUGACCAUAUCGAAUACUUCAGCACCAGUACGGAUGACAGGCUUCCCCCGGGGUUCUGCCUUGCCAUUGAAAUGCUUGCCUUUUUUUCUUUAAGGGAUGCUUGGGCGGAAGAAAACGACGAUUGUACGGGUACACAUUCUUCCUACAUUUGUCCAGAUAUAUACUUUCUGUCUGAUCCAAACAGUGCGUGCAUGCAUUGUAUCCCUUGUUUGACGGUCCUGAAAUGUUACUAAGAGCAGGCCAAUCAUUGAUGGUUACGGAAAGCAACACUCGAAGGUCAAAUUCCUCUUAUCUGUGCUCGUCCCACACACGUACACCUGGUUCGGCCCACAGCUGUAAAAGUUCAUCAACUAAUGGCCUUAGGUACACAUCAAUAUUGUUGUCGGGUUGCUUUGGACCUUGGAUAAGCACUGGCAUCAUAAUGAACUUACGCUUCAUGCACAACCAUGGAGGAAGGUUGUAGAUACAUAGAGUAACGGGCCAGGUGUUGUGACUACAACUCUGCUCCCCAAAAGGAUUCAUGCCAUCUUUACUCAGACCAAACCAUAAGUUCCUUGCGUCAGCUGCAAAUCUCGGGAACUCUCUCUCGAUUUUUCUCCACUGCCGAUCAUCAGCGGUGUGCCUCAACUUAUCGUCUUUCAUACGAUCUUCCAUGUGCCAUCGCAACAACUUCGCAUGAUCUUUAUUUCUGAACAGACGUUUCAACCGUGGUAUUAUAGGAGCAUACCACAUCACCUUGGCAGGAACCCUCUUCCUGGGUGGCUCGCCCUCAAUAUCACCAGGGUCAUCUUUUCUGAUCUUAUACCGCAAUGCAGUGCAUACCGGGCAUUUAUCCAUAUUCUCGUACUUCUCACCGCGGUAGAGGAUGCAGUCAUUAGGGCAUGCAUGUAUCUUCUGCACGUCUAAUCCUAGAGGGCAGACAAGCUUCUUUGCUUCGUACGUGCUGGCGGGCAAUUCGUUCUUUCUUGGAAGCAUCUUCUUCAUCAGUACCAGCAACUUUUCGAAUGACGAGUCAGUCACACCGGUCUCUGCCUUCCACUUCAGCAAUUCCAGUGUGCUACCCAGCUUCUUCUGGCCAUCUUCACAAGUUGGGUACAACAAUUUGUUGUGGUCCUGUAACAUCUGCUCGAACUGCAACCUCUCCUUUUUUGUGUCGCAACCUCGCCGUGCAUCAGAAAUGACCCGGCCAAGAUCAUCAGCGGGCUCAUCUGGUUCCCGUUCUUCAUCCUGAUCUUCUUCUUUAUUGUCUUCCAUUGCGGUAUCAGCAUACUCAGGGAACAUAGAUCGGUAGUUGUCAUCAUCGUUCUCUUCUUCUGCAUCGUCGUCUUCCAUCAUAACCCCUCUUUCUCCGUGCUUGGUCCAAACAUUAUAGCCCGACAUAAAACCGGACCGAAGCAGGUGGCUUUGAAUGACUCUUGAGGAAGUGUAAUUCUUCUCAUUCCGACAUUCAACACAUGGACAAAACAUAUAGCCACCACCAUGCUUGUUCGCAUCGGCUGCAUCUCGAAAAGAAUGCACGCCUUCUCUGUAAGCGGCUAUGCGUCGAUCACCGUACAUCCAUGGAUGGCUCAUCUGCGUUAUACGACAGUAUAUCAAAUACAAUCACGAUCCUAAAAAUUAGUACCGCACGGUCUAAACGAGGAAAUAUAGUUGCUAACCUUUUAGAAUAAGUAGAAAUAAAGAGAAAGAGGUUUAAGCGUGGCUCGGGCAUCUCAUAUCGUAGUUGUGUUCGGUGAACUGAAGCGGCAUCGCUCUAACACACAUUUCAACAAACACCUCUAGUGCAUCCAAGAAAAAUGGAGAGCUAGCACACACCCACACUCUUCCAUCCAAGAAAAAUGCAAGGAAGAGGGGAGAGGGGGGCUGUGGCCAAUAUAUAUAGGCAGAGGACUUUAGUCCCGGUUUGAGACACAAACCGGGACUAAAGGUGGCGCACAUGCGGGCUGCACACCGCGUAGCCCUUUAGUCCCGGUUUGAGACACAAACCGGGACUAAAGGCUCCUUACGGGCCGGGACCAAAGCCUCGUGGGCGGCAUUGCGAUUUUGGGCGACGUGGCCGGGCCUUUAGUCCCGGCCCAGAUGGAGGCCUCGGACUAAAGGGUCCAGGCCAAAGGCCCGUUUUCCACUAGUGAACAUCUGCAUCCACGGUCUUCGGCUUGGAGACACGUGCGAUCCUCACCAAGCAGACUCCGUCAACCUCUAGAGCACCGGCACACCGUCCACCAUCGGGCCACCGAUCAGCAUCUUCAUCGAGCUAUCUGCACUGACACCACGCCAUAACAUGAAGCUGUACGACUACAUCGUCUACAAAUUUCAUCGUCGAGUACGUCAACGAGAAACGGCAUCAACAUGCAUCAUCUACAUGCCAGGCCAGUGUGGAAAGUGAUGCAAUUCUUCAUCAACUUCUCCGGCGCGACACGGCAUCAACACUUCAUCGCCGCGAGGGACGCCUCCAAGCGACGGAUCAUCCUCGACAUGCUGCUGCGACGCCAUCGCCGACACUUCAUCGCCAAGGUCUUCAUCAACGUGCUCUUCAUCAACAUCUUCAUCAACACACCGCCGCCGCCUUGUCCACAAGAUGGACACCUAGCGUCCUCUGACAGAUUUUUUCUGCAAGACGCGACCUCGACGAUGGCAAUGACCGCGUCACGACGUUGGCAUCAACCACGUCAUCCAUGAUGGCAUGACUGCAUCGAAACGGCGUCACAAUAGUGACGACCCCUACAUGGCCUCACGGUUCUGGCAAAACUGAUGUGUGCUCGAUGGGUUUCCUCCGGUCCUGGCAAAACCGGCGGACUCAUCGCCGACGGCACCCUCUAACAUCCGAAAGGUGCAUCGUCCACGUCUGCAGCUCCAUCAUAGCGCUUUUUUUUUGCGCCUCCGGCUUUGUGCGGCUUCAUCAUCCACGACGAUCACACAUUGACCACGUCUACCUUGACCACGGCUACAUCACCAUGAUCGGCUACCUCGACAUCGACAUUCAUGGCUACGUCUACAACAACUCAUCGACAAUAACUCCAGUCAACAGCGUCCGCGUCGUCACUAGCAUCCCCGCCACUCCCGCUGCGACUGCGGGAGGAAAUAGAGGAGAGACAAGGAAGGCACCAGAAGGGGACGCAGUCACCGCCCUAGGUGCCGAUCCAUUAGAGACGCAGUUGAUGAUGACGCGUUGGAGAAGAUAACAAAGGCGCAAGACUUUAAAUUCAGUCGCAAGUGUCCGCUUCACUCCCGCUACGACUGAGGGGGAAUGUUAGAAGUAUAAUUGAGUUUAAGUUAGAGAUAAGGAGAUAAGGAGAUAGAGAUAGAAUUAGUUUAAACCACAUGUAACUUGUCUUGUACUCCAAGCCUCUACCCUUCAUGUACUCCUAUAUAUACCCCUAUAAGGUUAGAUCAAUACAACAUAAAAACACACAAUACUCAGUCAUCUAUAUUUUCCACGUGGUUUACCUUUUCUUCUCUAUGGGCUGCAGCGGCGAGCAAGUACUACCCUGAACCUGAAGUGCCAUUUGAUUGCAUAAGAGAACUUUCUGCCUGUGGUAGUAUUAUCAUACUGUGCGUGUGUGCUUAACUCAUGGUCUUUUUUAAAGCUUUCGAAACUCUGCAAUUUGAAUCAUCCAGUCACUGAUUAAUAAUUUAACGUGAGAUUCUAUUUUUGAUGCAUUCAGCUUCGUUAUUACUCUUGAGACACUUAUUUCAGGACGGAGGGAGUAUUCUACCACGCCACAAGUUCCUAACCAUGUCGUUGGAAACUCUGUAGGCAGGCUUGUAACGAGUUGAAGCCACUGCCAUGCCAUCAAGCGGCAACCUGUAGCAGCUUCCCGGAGGAAUAUCUGAUCCGUUGGACCUUUUACAACGACCCAGAUAUCCAAAUGAUUAUUGCAAAAAUACAUUAGGUUCCUCGUUCAGAAAAGUUGUCCAAUUAUCAUCUGUCCGGUUUGCACAGCCAAUUUCAGAAGCUUGAAUUGAAGUGCACAAAUCAAUCUGUGAUUUACAUUUUUCUUCUCUAUUGGCUGCAGCGGCGAGCAAGUACGAAGAGAACUUUCUACCUGUGGCAGUAUUAUCAUGCUCUGCGAGUGUACUUAACUCAUGGUCUUUUUUAAUGUGAAUAACUGUGAAGAGAAGCUACCAUCUUCUUAUUGUCUAGUACUCCCUCCGUCUCAAAAUUCUUGUCUUACAUUUAUCUAGAUAUGAAUGCAUCUAGUCAUGUUUUAGUACUUAAAUAUAUCUAUUUUUAGACAAACCUAAGACAAGAAUUUUGGGACUGAGGGAGUAUAAAAUUGAAAUGUGUGUUUCCUUGUGCACACACCAUAAUGGAAAGGCACUUUCUUAUUGAAAGGCAUGAAUCCUACGAGUCUGAAUCUACAUUUAAGGAUUUGCGCUUCAAUUUUUUGACUCGAGCAAAAUUGCAGUCGUUUACUGACCAUUCUGCUAUGAAGAAAGUAUAAGGUGGACAACUGCUACUGCUUGCUGGCGCCGGGGUUGCAGCUAAUGACGAAAAUUGGUUAUGAAAGAUAAGCCCCAAAUCUGGAAGGAACACAUUCGAAUUCUACAAAGUCCAGGCUCUAGUAUUACCAAAUAAUUGUUUGAUUAAUACUCCCUCCGUUUCUAAAUAUAAAGUGCAUUAGUUUAUCAAAAAGUCAAUUGUUGUCUAUGUUUGAUUAACAUUAUAGCAAAAUAUAUAAAUAUUUACAAAACCGAAUAUAUAUAAUAUAAAGAUAUACUUCAAGGUGAAUCUAGUGAUAAUGAUUUCAUAUUCUAGAUAUUGAUAUUUUUGUCAAUAAAUUUGAUCAAAGUUUGAGAACUUUGACUUUAAAAAAACAAUACAUUUUAUAAUUAGAAACGGAGGGAGUACCUUAAUUAUGAAACUUUUCAUGCACAAGAACACAAUGCUUAGAUAGGCAGAAAACUUGUAUACCGUCGUCACGGAUGAGCCUACCGAGGGUGGGAGCCCAAUCUAUCACCGACCGGUCGUCCGACGUCCGCCGGUUAAUAACAUGUUUGUUUUUUCUUAUGCAAUGUAACAUGCCAUCUACUAGAACAAGCAAUAAAACAUGCUAUACAAUGAAUUUUCUAAAAAUAAAUGGUUGUGUGCGCAAACAAAUUUUUUUUUUGGUGAUUAAUGCUUCAAGGUUUUUGCCUAUGCAAGGUCAGUAGCACAUGCGUGGUUACUCAAGUUAAACAGAUCCAGGUUUUAUUACAGCUAGGCCCAAAUAAAUAUCUGUGAGUAAGCCACAUCAAAUAUUCCCCCCGUUUCUAAAUAUAAGACAUUUUAGAGAUUUUACUUAUGGACUACAUACGAAAGGACUUAUGGACUACAUACGAAAUGACCAAUGUCCGUCUGGCCCGAGAAAACCUUUGCACGCCUCCGUUACCUUUUGGGAGCAUAUAAACAUUUUUUUAGUGCAGAUUCAUUUAUUUUGCUUUGUACUCCCUCCGUUCCUAAAUAUAAGACCUUCUAGAGAUUACACUAUAGACUACAUACGGAGCAAAAUGAGUGAAUCUAUACUUUAAAAUAUGUCCAUAUACAUCCGUAUAUAGUCCAUAGUGUAAUCUCUAAAAGGUCUUAUAUUUAGGAACGAAGGGAGUACAUAGUCCAUAGUAAAAUCUCUAAAAGGCCUUAUAUUUAGGAACGGAGGGAGUAAUAUUUUGAAGUAAGGAUGUGAGGGUGAACUCCUAUAUAUUGCUUAUUUCUAUUCAAUAGAAAACAAUUCAUCGUCGCUAGUCAGGUUAGGCUAUCUGUCUUUCAGCCAGACCACGUUAUCCAGACUGAUCAAACUCAACUAAUUCGGGACAGAGGUAUACAUGGAGCGGCUCAAUGGCGUAUACGGAUAGACUGAUAGAGGCAUGCAAAAUUGCUACAUUCCCAAAAUUAGGAAACCCCAGUUUGAUCAACGGAGAUAUGUACAUCAGGCAACAUUUCAUCCGACCAAAAUAGAACUACCUACAUUUUUUUUUUUGCUUCAGGCAUGCUGUGACAAAAAAUGCUUUCAAGAAUAUUUUGGGCCUGUUCAGUCAGCCCAAUGUCGAUUCCAUGCCGUGGCAAAAUGACAUGAGCAGGGACAUGAGCAGAGGAACAGUUCUUCAGUCAUUCAGAGACUACUGGAUGCUUUCCCUCACUCCAGCAGCAGCUGUUCUAACUCAUCAAAGGCGUCGGUUUCAUUUUCGUCAUAGAAUUCUCCAGAUUCGUCGUUGUCAACCACCACCAUUUCAUCAUGAGGAGAUACACCUGUUUUCUGGUAGAACUCUUCCUUCUGGGCAUCCCACUCUUUGACGAUUUCCUCUACUUUGUCACCCAGCAGUUUGUCAUUCUGAAGGAUGUGCUUGGCAUCUUCCACAUCAACAGUUUGGCUUGCCUCUGCCAAGGGUAGCGAUAGGGUCAAUGACAGUUCCAAUGCUACAAAAAAUACAGGUAGUGUAAGAAGAUGAUGAGAAGAGAUAAGCACCUGCAAAAGCUGAUUCUUUGGCUUUAGCGUAGUCCAUUGACAAUUUCUUGAUGCUGUCAAGUUCAAACUCCACUCCCUAGAUGCAGAUUGAUGUGUCAGCAACAGAAGAGAUUAUGAGUACCAUUGAUACCAAAAAAAAAAAAUGAUUGCCUCAUCUUGAUAUUGUUUCUUAUAUCGAUAAUGCCAGCACUACACAGCAUAGCAGUUCUUUAUUAAAACCAUUAACUGGAACCGUUACAGGCUACGUCAAUCACUAACAUUGGCAGACUGAAGGGGGGUAGGCUGUGGAGUGGAUAAAAUAAAUGAUAACGUCAACCCUAAUGGUGAUGCAAUGGAGUGUGUUAAAAAUGAAUCUAAAAAGAGGCCAUGAACGGAAACAAACUAAACUUACCAAAUCUGUGUGCGUAUAACUCCCUAUUUGAGUAUUUGCAAACAACCUGGAACAUUAAAAAAAUAUCAGAAUAUUAGUAAAUAAUCGGUAAUGUGUUCUUGUUUGCAUACAGAGAAUAAAACGAAGGGAAGAGCUUACUACCCUGCAAGAAGAGAACACAAAUGCUAAUGAUGAACAUCAGACGAGACAGAUGGUAAAGAAGAAAAUCCACAUACUUGUCACAGGCAAAUUCCACCCGUUUAUUCUGGGAUGCAUUCAUUUCAUCAACCUCCUUUGCCACAAUGUCACCAAGCAAAUUUAUGAACCCAAACAGAAACAUGCCUUUAUCUAGCAUCCUUUUGACAAGUGCUGGUACAAGACCAAGCCCGUUCUGCUUAGCCUCAAUGACAAAGUCUUUGAGUUUCUUGGACUCCUCUGUUGCAAUCACAUAUUCAGGGAAUUAAUCUUCCCAUUGCAGUAAGACGUAAAUCAGUGACUAUAUACCUUACCAAGAGACAGAUAAAUUUUGAAGUGUGGCUUGUAUGGUUGACACUCAUAAAGGCAGUAAAGGCAGUAAAGCCCAGGCAACCUCUGAAGUAGAGAACUUUGGGAAGUCAUAUGGCCUACAUAUAUAGACAAGAAAAAGAAAAUACAUCACCAGUGCUGUAAGAAAGAUUGUUGUAGGUAAAGUGGCAAUUACAGGGAAACCAUAGCCUACCAAUACAAUGCAAAAAGAGGGAUUGCAUAAAAACGCCCGAGUUCGUCUUGGGCCUGCCUUCAUAGAUAUAAGAAAACUUCUUGGCCAUCCACACUCUCUUGAAAUCAGUGAAUGACGUGCAAUUUUCCUGCCAAACAGAAGCACAUGGAUGCUACUUAUUUAACAUGUAUAUGAGCAUGGCACACCUUGACUAACUGCAUGACAGAAAAAAGAAAUCACCUUGGUAUAAUCAUCUAGUAACUCGUCAAUAUCCAUCUUGAAAGGGGCGAGAUCCAUACUUAAAGUCAAUGGCAAACGUGAACCUGAAUCCACAAACAACUACUCAUCAACAAUAAAAUAAACAACUGCUCACUUCAAUCAGAAAUGUAAUAUUGAAACGGGACUUUUGAGCUUGGUUUUGCAGUCCACCUUAUUUUUUCUACGGACUGCCACUACAUCACCUCCAUAUCAAUUUGGCGAAAUCAUCCACUUUUUUUGGCAUUGCCGUUGCUUUCCAAAUGCACUUAGUCACUCUUAAUUAUCAGCGUAACAGUUAGUUAAAUGCAUCUUUCCUGAGCUGUAACGGCAGCAAUUUACUAAAACUAGUAAGCAAGCAUUCAUCGCCAAACUAAAUAGAUUACAGUGCACAACCAAGUAAAACCACAAUCUGACCGUGAAUCUAGAAUAAUCUCCACAAAACUCGGCUAUUCUAUUAGUCCCGAAGGAAGUGAUGACAAAGCAUUCAUGCUGCAGGACCGGAGGAAAAAUAGACUCGUGUGUAUAAACUGGUAGCAAAUCGAUCCUACUGACCACUGACCAGAGAGACCUCAGGAUUGCCUAAUAAGUGAAUUCAAGCAGAGAUGCUAAGCUGUUGACCGAGUAGUUAGGGAGGAAAACCUACACCGUGAAAGAAUCGGGGAGAGACUCACCGGAGAAGAACACACUGCCGAGGUGGGCGACCGGAGUUUAGCAAGAACACAAAAUUACGGCAGUAGGCACGGGGCUGCAGGAGGUAGGGAAGGAGAGGGCUGGAGGCUUCGCGGCGGUAGGAUGCAGGGGCGGAGGAGCGUUGGAGCAACGGCCGCCGCGACACAAUGAGGAGGGGGCGGCGUGAGCUGGAUGCGGGGCGGCCUAGGGUGGAUCAGGAGACGCGCUAGAGGGGCGGAGCUAGCAUCUGACAUCAGGGUGGUCCGCUCCCAAAUUUUUUUUGACAAGCAAUAUGACAUGCGAACGUUCUAACCGAUUAUCAAUAUCAUAAAGAAAGAGAUUAACAUGGUCUUACAAACGCACUAAAAUUCUUAAUUAAAUCUUAGUGCAAAAAUUAUCUAUAGGCAUAGUGCAAAAAAUCAAACCCUAAGUCAGAAAUUAGGGUAUUUCAGUACCUUUAAUUGGGGUAUUAUGGGGGCUGGUGUGGUGACUGAGCGGCAGUGGCUACCGCCUGAUCUGCAGGGGGGUGAGGGCAGGGGCGCGACCGGACCAGAGGGCGAGCGGGAAGGAGAGGCGGGACCACGGGAGCCUCCUGGGUGCCAGGUGGCUGGGCUCCGGGAUCCGGUCAGCGGCGGGCGGCAGGCGGCGAGGUUGCAAGGGACGGCGAUGGUGAGGUGGCUGAGCAUAGAGGUCAACCAGCGUCGUGCGAGGGCAUAGCCGCGUGGGGACGAAGGGCUCUGCUCGAUGUGGGCGUGGCUACGUGGGUCAACCAAACUUGGCAAAAUACCACUAUGAAAAUCAAACAUGUCAUUAUGUCAAUGUAGCACUACUUUCAGUUUUCUCUAGCCAAAAUACCAUUAGUGACUAAAUAAGACUAACACCAUCCAAAGAAGACUUCUAUGCCCUUACCUCUUCACAGCCCAAGUAUACAUUUCAGCAAACAAAAAGCAGCUAUAGUGCAACAUUUUAACAGCCAAUUGACAUGAAAACACCACCAACUCAACAUAAUCUUACUUUGCAUCAUCCAACAACAAUAUAGCCCCUUUUUGUACACUCGUUUGCCGUCUACAAUCGUCAAGUAAGACUGAACA